Molecule: long non-coding RNA, 874 nt
Filed under: Capsicum annuum
Lineage: Eukaryota; Viridiplantae; Streptophyta; Magnoliopsida; Solanales; Solanaceae
Description: long non-coding RNA (CANN_LNC016827)
Source: RNAcentral
UGGAUGUGGCAGGUGAUUCCAGUGAUUAUGACAUGCAUUUUGAAUUACAUAAUCUGAUCUACCCAAACUAAUCACUAUCAAAUUUUGCCCACUCAUUGAAUUUGAAAUGGAGCCAUUCUUGAACAUGCUCCCUCUAGAUUACAAUCCUCCUUCAACUAGUGACACCUCAAUGGGUUUUGCCAAUAAGCCGAUCUCAUUCUUAUUUAUUUCUCAGCUCACUGUUGCCUUAUGGUGUCCAUGAGGAUUUUCACCAAUAAGACUCUCAUUUUUUAUUGUUCUCACAACUCACUGUCGCCUUAUGGUGUCCACAAUAUGAAACCUCAUAUACUCAUACAUGUUUAGUCUUGACAUUCUCUAAGAUUGAUCUGAAGGUAUUUCUUCGAUUGUCUUGGCUUAUGGAUAGGGUAAGAAAGAAAGGAUGGCAUAAGGCUCAAAAAUAUACAUGACAUUAGGUGAAGCAUACAAUUUUUGAAAUCAACUCUUAAGGAAAUAAAUUUUUGCCCCAGUUUUAUUUCAUACUAGGUAGAUUAAAUUUUUACUUGGUUGGACCGGACCCCAGAAUAGGGCUGCCUACGUAUCUUGUCAUAGCAAGAAUCAGGUCAAACGUAGUUCAGACAAGUCAUUCUCUCUUUUUUCUUAAAUGAACUUGGGCUCUCAUUUCUUUUCUUUGAUUCUUUUUUUUUCAGUUCCAUUUUUUUUUCUUGAAAUUUUUUUCUCUGACUCCAUUUUCUUCUUGAUGCACAUUUUUUUAUUUAUUUAUUUUGACUUCAUUUUUUCUUGACAUUUUUCUGACUCCAUUUUUCUUGACACCUUCUUUUUUAUUUUUUUCAAACUCUAUUUUGAUUUCAAAAGAGGGGUAUGAAAUAAAAUAAAA